Molecule: unclassified non-coding RNA, 328 nt
Filed under: soil metagenome
Description: partial contains 5.8S ribosomal RNA, internal transcribed spacer 2, and large subunit ribosomal RNA
Rfam family: 5.8S ribosomal RNA (bases 4-119)
Source: RNAcentral
GAUAAGAACGUAGCGAAAUGCGAUAAGUAAUGUGAAUUGCAGAAUUCAGUGAAUCAUCGAAUCUUUGAACGCACAUUGCGCCCCUUGGUAUUCCGAGGGGCAUGCCUGUUCGAGCGUCAUUAUAACCCCUCAAGCUCAGCUUGGUGUUGGGGCCUGCUGCACUGGCAGCCCUUAAAAUCAGUGGCGGCGCCAUCUGGCUCUAAGCGUAGUAAUACUUCUCGCUAUGGAGUCCUGGUGGAUGCUUGCCAUCAACCCCCAAUUUUUCUAUGGUUGACCUCGGAUCAGGUAGGGAUACCCGCUGAACUUAAGCAUAUCAAUAAGCGGAGGA